Long non-coding RNA from Passer domesticus (house sparrow), 1005 nucleotides. RefSeq lists it as uncharacterized. The transcript is spliced from 3 exons. The record is from RefSeq and is a predicted model, not a curated record. Lineage: Eukaryota; Metazoa; Chordata; Aves; Passeriformes; Passeridae.
CUUGGUAGAAAAGAGAGGUUGAUGGGAACCUGCUGCUGUGGGGCUUGUGCAAACUGAUCUGCAGGAAUCACAGAAGGAGAACAUAAGAAUUCACAAGUGUGGGGGUUGAGUGGACAUGUGCAAAUGCUGAAAUUCCUAUUAGCAGAUGGAAGACAGAAAAUAUGAAAUGAAGAAUCAUUGAGAUUGGAAAAAAUCUCAUGGGACUGCCUAGUCCAACCUCCCUCCCUCAAGAGGAGUCAGCUGGAGCAGGUUGUUCAGGACAGUUUGCAGUAAGAUUAUGAACAUCUCUGAGGAUGGAAACUUUACAGGCAAUGUUUUAGUGUCUGACCACCUUUGCAGCAAAAAAAAUUGUUCUGUGUUCAGAUGGAAUUUCAUAUGUAUCAUUUUGCACCCAUUGCCUGUAGUUCUCCCUUGUGGCUCUGAGACAAUUCUGACUCUGUUUCGUCCCUCUCGGAUAUUUAUGUACCUUCCUCUGCCAAAACUUCUCUUCAGGCUGAAGAGUCCCAACUCUCUCUCAGCCUUUCCUCAUGUGAGGAUGCAGUCCCUUUGCUAAGUAACCCUUUCCUGCACUUGCCCCAGAAAGUCUUGAGCUGAAGCACCCAGAACUAAGAGCCAAUACUCCAGAUGAGGCUUCACCAGCAUUGAGCAGAGAGGACAUCACCUUCCUCAACCUGCUGAAAAUGUUUUUCCUAUUGCAGGUCAGAAUAUUGUUUUACUUCAUACCUGAACAAUUCUAAUUUCUAAUCUUAUAAAGAAGGAAUGCUUAAAUGUUAAAAAAAAAAAAAAAAAAAAAAAAAAAAAAAAAAAAAAAAAAAAAACACAAGUAACCACUAAAUAGAACUUCACCUUAUGGAUUAAGGGAAGAAUAUUUAAGCUUCUAUGUAAUCACUAUGUCAGUAAUGCCUAAUGAGACAUGACUCCUUGCAAUGUCCUAUUUUUUCUGAAAUCAUUGGGUAAAAGAAAAAUUGUGACAAAAUAAGUUAAAAUGGUGUUUCUUCUCCCUUG